GUCUAUGGCCAUACCACCCUGAACGUUCCUGAUAUCGUCUGAUCUCAGAAGCUAAGCAGGGUUGGGCCUGGUUAGUACUUGGAUGGGAGACAUUACAAGUAAAUACGAUAGUAGAAAGCCCAGUGUCCUAUUCU
This 134-nucleotide ribosomal RNA is filed under the name Ochotona princeps (American pika). The record is from RNAcentral. Lineage: Eukaryota; Metazoa; Chordata; Mammalia; Lagomorpha; Ochotonidae.